Molecule: long non-coding RNA, 656 nt
Organism: Tyto alba (common barn owl)
Lineage: Eukaryota; Metazoa; Chordata; Aves; Strigiformes; Tytonidae
Exons: 3
Source: RefSeq, a predicted model, not a curated record
GCUACUUUCAUUGUUCCUUGCUGUGGCUACAGUUUCAUGGACUAAACACGCUGUUCUGGUGUGCUUUGUAUGGAUUUUUUAGACAAAGGUGCUGUGGCCAGGCUGGGUGCUUGUGUUGGCUUGCUGGGAGGGAGGAUACGGCUGGGAGCAGGGGAGGAACGGCACCGUUUCCUUCAGCGGCGCAGGCACCCUCGGGUGUCUGUGGAUCUAUAGCCACAGGACUUGUGUACUUGCUUGGGUACUUCCAAGCACGAAGGGUUCCUGUGAUUUCCAACUCAGGACAGGCGUUCUGGACACAACGCAGACGCACAGUACCACACCUACAGCUGAAGGAGCACCCAAGAGGACAAACGUGACCACUCUUCGAGAGAGAGAGAGAGAGACAGAGAGCCACUGGUGAGAGCCGGAGCAGAAAGCCUCGCCCCACGGUAUGCCGUUCCUCCCCGGGGUGAGUAACCCUGCUUGGUGGUGCCGUCAGAGGAGCGAUGGGCGCUUUGCAGGGCUCGCUUCGACAUCAUUUCCAUCCCCAGGACUCCUUGGAACAGCAACUGCACACCGAGAUCCUAAGCGCGGGGUGAUGCAGAAACUCUGAACAAAGAAUAACCCAAGUGUAGCAAUUGCUAGUGGGUAAUGGUACUUCAGAGAGCAAAUUUUGG